RNAcentral lists this unclassified non-coding RNA (398 nucleotides) under Hevea brasiliensis (rubber tree). The record is from RNAcentral. Lineage: Eukaryota; Viridiplantae; Streptophyta; Magnoliopsida; Malpighiales; Euphorbiaceae.
AUGAUAAUAGAAUAGUUCCUAAGAAGAAAUCAAACACAAACUUAUCAAAGAAAGCAGUUUUACAGAAAGACACCAGAACCGACACCAAUGGGACCAAUUUGUUUCCCACAAACGCUAAUGUACAUUAUAAUCUUUUACAUAUCACUAAGAAUGCCUUAGAAGAGGCCAAAUCAUUUGUAAGACUUGUAAAGAUAGUUUAUUGAUGCUGAAGAUCAAGCCACAAUUUAGCACUCACAUCCACUUGACCUAGGCUGACUGCUGGCUCCAACAUCAAUUGUAUCUGGCAAAUAAAUCUCCUCCUCUUCCCCACUCUUCAGGGCAUUCUUUGCUAUGCAUUGGAAAGCUUCUUCCACAUUAAUGCCUUCUUUGGCAGAUGUCUCAAAGUAUGGGAUAUUCCC